UACACUUCGGCUCUCUUGUACUUGAAGAUUGUGUUUCGUUUUCUUUGGUGCUCACUCUUUCGUGUUUCUUCUUCUGUUUGCUUGCAGGGCUUAUCACGCUUUACAAUCCUGUGGAAUCACGGGCAGCGAGUGUUGGCGCUGGCAUUGAAAAACAGAAUCAGUGAGAUAACCUCUCUGCUCUUGCUACGUUAACAAUCAAUGGUUUCUUCAAAAUGCACACUGGGCUACGAGAUUAAAGAACUUGUCACGUCCAUGCAGCUGCGCGAACUGACCAUGGAACGACUUGUGUUAUAGGUGAUCGAGAUAAGUCUGAGAAUCGCUUCAAGGAGCGCGGGUCCAAAAACAUGCCUCAAGUAAAG
This is a long non-coding RNA of Selaginella moellendorffii, 359 nucleotides long. RefSeq lists it as uncharacterized. The record is from RefSeq and is a predicted model, not a curated record. The transcript has 3 exons. Lineage: Eukaryota; Viridiplantae; Streptophyta; Lycopodiopsida; Selaginellales; Selaginellaceae.